This 392-nucleotide ribosomal RNA is filed under the name uncultured bacterium. RNAcentral describes it as "bacterial SSU rRNA". It matches the Rfam family "Bacterial small subunit ribosomal RNA", at positions 28 to 424 of the family's 1533-position model. The record is from RNAcentral.
GACGAACGCUGGCGGCGUGCUUAACACAUGCAAGUCGAGCGGUAAGGCCCUUUCGGGGGUACACGAGCGGCGAACGGGUGAGUAACACGUGGGUGACCUGCCCUCAGCUCUGGGAUAAGCCUGGGAAACCGGGUCUAAUACUGGAUAUGACUCCAUGACGCAUGUUGUGGGGUGGAAAGCCUUGUGCGGCUGAGGAUGGGCCCGCGGCCUAUCAGCUUGUUGGUGGGGUGANGGCCUACCAAGGCGACGACGGGUAGCCGGCCUGAGAGGGCGACCGGCCACACUGGGACUGAGACACGGCCCAGACUCCUAUGGGAGGCAGCAGUGGGGAAUCUUGCGCAAUGGGCGAAAGCCUGACGCAGCGACGCCGCGUGAGGGAUGACGGCCUGGUU